GGUGGGACUAAGACAUGUUAGUUGAGCGCCUCUAAGCUAUGGUAGAGACGCAGCAAACGGCUCAGUAACACGUGGCUAACCCACCUUUAGGACGGGCACAACCCCGGGAAACUGGGGCUAAUGCCCGAUAGGCGAGGACGCCUGGAAUGACCCUUCGCCCAAAGGGUGCUGAGACCAUGCACACAGCAUCGCCUAAAGACGGGGCCGCGACCGAUCAGGCUGUUGGCGAGAUAAAGGCUCACCAAACCUAUAACCGGUACGGGCCGUGAGAGCGGGAGCCCGGAGAUGGGCACUGAGACAAGGGCCCAGGCCCUACGGGGCGCAGCAGUUACGAAACCUCCACAAUGCACGAAAGUGCGAUGGGGCUACCCCGAGUGCCGUCCGCUGAGGAUGGCUUUUCCUUAGCGUAAUGAACUAGGGGAAUAAGGAGAGGGCAAGACUGGUGUCAGCCGCCGCGGUAAUACCAGCUCUCCGAGUGGUAGGGAUGAUUAUUGGGCUUAAAGCGUCCGUAGCCGGCUCGACAAGUCCCCUGUUAAAUCCAACGACUCAAUCGCUGGACUGCAGGAUAUACUGUUGGGCUAGGGGACGGGAGAGGCCGACGGUAUUUCCGGGGGAGGGGUGAAAUCCUAUAAU
RNAcentral lists this ribosomal RNA (633 nucleotides) under uncultured archaeon. RNAcentral describes it as "bacterial SSU rRNA". It matches the Rfam family "Archaeal small subunit ribosomal RNA", at positions 37 to 646 of the family's 1478-position model. The record is from RNAcentral.